This 71-nucleotide transfer RNA is filed under the name Marmota monax (woodchuck). Its description in RNAcentral is "tRNA.Gly". Lineage: Eukaryota; Metazoa; Chordata; Mammalia; Rodentia; Sciuridae. The record is from RNAcentral.
GGGGCUGUAGCUCAGUGGCAGAGCGCUUUCCUACCAUGCAUGGGGCACUGGGUUCGAGCUUCAGCACCACA